AUUGCCCUAGUAACGGCGAGUGAAGCGGCAACAGCUCAAAUUUGAAAUCUGGCCUUCUCUGAGGGUCCGAGUUGUAAUUUGCAGAGGGUGCUUUGGUGUUGUCGGCGGUCUAAGUUCCUUGGAACAGGACAUCACAGAGGGUGAGAAUCCCGUUUGUGGUCGCCAGCCUUCGCCGUGUAAAGCCCCUUCGACGAGUCGAGUUGUUUGGGAAUGCAGCUCUAAAUGGGAGGUAAAUUUCUUCUAAAGCUAAAUACCGGCCAGAGACCGAUAGCGCACAAGUAGAGUGAUCGAAAGAUGAAAAGCACUUUGGAAAGAGAGUCAAAAAGCACGUGAAAUUGUUGAAAGGGAAGCGCUUGCAGCCAGACUUGCCCGUAGUUGCUCACCCGGACUCUUGUCCGGGGCACUCUUCUGCGGGCAGGCCAGCGUCAGUUUGGGCGGUUGGAUAAAGGCCUCUGUCACGUAUCUCCCUUCGGGGUGACCUUAUAGGGGAGGCGUAAUGCAGCCAGCCCGGACUGAGGUCCGCGCUUUUGCUAGGACGCUGGCGUAAUGGCCGUAAGCGGCCCGUCUUGAAACACGGACCAAGGAGUCUAACAUCUAUGCGAGUGUUUGGGUGUCAAGCCCGGACGCGCAAUGAAAGUGAACGGAGGUGGGAACCCUCUGGGUGCACCAUCGACCGAUCCUGAAGUCUUCGGAUGGAUUUGAGUAAGAGCAUAGCUGUUGGGACCCGAAAGAUGGUGAACUAUGCUUGAAUAGGGUGAAGCCAGAGGAAACUCUGGUGGAGGCUCGCAGCGGUUCUGACGUGCAAAUUGAUCGUCUGGAUUUGGGCAUA
RNAcentral lists this ribosomal RNA (829 nucleotides) under Camarographium sp. RNAcentral describes it as "partial large subunit ribosomal RNA". It matches the Rfam family "Eukaryotic large subunit ribosomal RNA", at positions 74 to 919 of the family's 3401-position model. Lineage: Eukaryota; Fungi; Ascomycota; Dothideomycetes; Pleosporales. The record is from RNAcentral.